GACGAACGCUGGCGGCGUGCUUAACACAUGCAAGUCGAACGGAAAGGCCCUGCUUUUGUGGGGUGCUCGUGUGGCGAACGGGUGAGUAACACGUGAGUAACCUGCCCUUGUCUUUGGGAUAACUUCAGGAAACUGGGGCUAAUACCGGAUAGGAGCUCCUGCUGCAUGGUGGGGGUUGGAAAGUUUCGGCGGUUGGGGAUGGACUCGCGGCUUAUCAGCUUGUUGGUGGGGUAGUGGCUUACCAAGGCUUUGACGGGUAGCCGGCCUGAGAGGGUGACCGGCCACAUUGGGACUGAGAUACGGCCCAGACUGCUACGGGAGGCAGCAGUGGGGAAUAUUGCACAAUGGGCGGAAGCCUGAUGCAGCAACGCCGCGUGCGGGAUGACGGCCUUCGGGUUGUAAACCGCUUUCGCCUGUGACGAAGCGUGAGUGACGGUAAUGGGUAAAGAAGCACCGGCUAACUACGUG
Molecule: ribosomal RNA, 468 nt
Filed under: uncultured bacterium
Lineage: Bacteria
Description: partial 16S ribosomal RNA
Rfam family: Bacterial small subunit ribosomal RNA
Source: RNAcentral